CAAGCCGAUUAGAGGAGUAGGAAAAAUGAAAAAUAAAGAAAUAGGCCGAUACAGUGUUCUUACUUCUUCCCCUCCGCAUCGCAAAGGAAGUCAUCGUCUAUUAUUCGCCCCCAUCAGCGGCAGCCUUCGGAACAACGAUUUCUCGCUCUCCUCAGACCUUCUAAUUCACGAUGACUGAAGCCAUUGAGCAACCAUUUAGGCCUCGUGAAAAACUUAUUGAAAGGCAAAAGUAUUUUCAGAGCAUUCAUAAGCACACAUAUCUCAAAGGCCCAUUGGAUAAGGUCACUUCUGUUGCCAUUCCAAUCGCUUUGGCAGCUUCAUCGUUGUAUCUUAUUGGACGGGGGAUCUAUAACAUGUCACAUGGAAUUGGGAAGAAAGAAUGAGGUCAUAGUCUCUUUGCAUGUUAAUUUCGAAGAGUUUUAUGCUCUGGAUCCAUGUUAAUUUUGUUAUUGAAGUAAUCUCUGCCUAAUAAUUGCUUAGUUGCAGACUCGACUACCAAUUGAUUUGAAUAUCAUUUUCAGAUUCUUUGUUGUGUGUA
Molecule: long non-coding RNA, 538 nt
Organism: Cucumis melo (muskmelon)
Lineage: Eukaryota; Viridiplantae; Streptophyta; Magnoliopsida; Cucurbitales; Cucurbitaceae
Exons: 3
Source: RefSeq, a predicted model, not a curated record